This 216-nucleotide ribosomal RNA is filed under the name Glomeromycotina sp. Its description in RNAcentral is "partial small subunit ribosomal RNA". The stretch from base 75 to 216 matches the Rfam family "Eukaryotic small subunit ribosomal RNA", at positions 721 to 864 of the family's 1831-position model. The record is from RNAcentral. Lineage: Eukaryota; Fungi; Glomeromycota.
GGGUCAGUAGGUUGGUCGUGCCACCGGUACGUACUGGUCUCACUGAUUCCUCCCUCCUGAAGAGCCGUAAUGCCAUUAAUUUGGUGUUGCGGGGAAACAGGACUGUUACUUUGAAAAAAUUAGAGUGUUUAAAGCAAGCUAACGCUUGAAUACAUUAGCAUGGAAUAAUGAAAUAGGACGAUCGAUCCUAUUUUGUUGGUUUCUAGGAUUGACGUA